Molecule: long non-coding RNA, 216 nt
Filed under: Elaeis guineensis (African oil palm)
Lineage: Eukaryota; Viridiplantae; Streptophyta; Magnoliopsida; Arecales; Arecaceae
Description: long non-coding RNA (EGUI_LNC039259)
Source: RNAcentral
GGCAUACAGGUGAGAUGUAAGGGUACAUCUGCACUGAACGUGACCAACUCCGAAGCUAUUUCUGCUGUCAAGAUUUGCUCCGAUGGGAUAUGGGUAUAAAUAUCCCUCCGAUCUGAGACCGCCACGGUGACUUGCAAGCAACUCACUGCACUUAGGCACUAGACUACCUGAAUUUCUAAUUCAGUGACGGAAGGCUGCUGGGUGUAGUCAAGUACU